This 315-nucleotide long non-coding RNA is filed under the name Mytilus galloprovincialis (Mediterranean mussel). The record is from RNAcentral. Lineage: Eukaryota; Metazoa; Mollusca; Bivalvia; Mytilida; Mytilidae.
GGCCUAUUCCAGGGCUCUCAGAGAAAAAUAAUGAGGGGUGUCGUGGGUAUGACUAUAUAGGUCUUGUAGAGGAGAAACAGGCGCUUCUUUUGCGCAAGGUAUCGAAGGGCGCUAUGUUCAAAAAUCUGAAACUAGAGCUAAAAAUUUGAAAAAAAUGGUAAAAAACAGGGGAGUCGGCCUAUUCCAGGGCUUCUAGAGAAAAAAAAUGAGGGGUGUCACGGGGUAUGACUAUAUAGGUCUUGUAGAGAGAAAACAGGCGCUUCUUUUGCGCAAGGUAUCGAAGGGCGCUAUGUUCAAAAAUCUGAAACUAGAGCC